AACGGAAUCACUACCUACAUUGAUGACAACAACCUUCGCAAAGGUGAUGUUAUUUCACAUGAACUUCUCACAGCAAUUGAAGAGUCUAUGUUUGCAAUCAUUGUUCUCUCACCAAACUAUGCUUCCUCCACUUGGUGCUUGGACGACCUCCAAAAGAUUCUUGAAUGCAAACAUAAAUUGGGGCAACACAUCGAAGCAGUGUUCUACGGUGUGGAGCCUUCUGAUGUGAGGCACCAGAAUGGAACAUUCGGAGAAGCUUUCAGAAAACAUGAACACAGAUUCGGACAAAAAAGUGACAAAGUUAGAACAUGGAGACAUGCCUUAACACAAGUUGCCGAUUACUCUGGUUGGACCUCCAAAGAUCAGUAAGCUCACUAAUAAUCAUUGAUUUCAUCUGUUAUUGCUACAAAUUAUGUUAACUAAAUUAUUAGAACACCCUAACAAGGACGGAUCCAUAUAAACUUGUGGGCAAUUGCCCCAAUUAAAUUUUAAAAAAAGCAAAAUAAAUAUAUAUUAUAUAAAUUUAAAAUAAUAAUAAUAAUUACUAAUAAUAGUCUAAUUAUCUAAUGAAUUUCAUUUCAAAUUUAAUAGUAUGAUAGCUUCAAUUGGAUCUGUUAACUAAAUUAGUUAUAUCUUUAAAGAAGAUGAUCUUUCGCAGAAACUAGUAGCUAAACAACUUUAACAAAAUACUUAAAUUUUUAAACCAAAAUGUGUAUUAAAAGUGUAACUUGUUUAAAUAUUAGGUAAAACAAUAUUGGCAAUAUAUUAAUUUAUUAUUCCAAUACAUACCUACAUCAAUAUUUUUCAAUAAAGAACAAGUUCCCCUAAUUUGAUAAUUUAUUCUAAGAAAAAUAUUAUAAAGCUAUCAGGAUUUAUUAUUUUUUGUCAUUAAUUAGUUAUUAAUUUAAUUUUUUAAUCUAAUUUUUUUAGUUUGAUAAUCUAAUAAUAUAUUUUAUUACAUAUUUUUAAAUAAUAAUAGUCAAAAAAUAAUAAAUUAUGAUCACUCUACACAUUUCUCUUUACUCUUGUGAUUCAAAUUUAAGACAAAAAAAUAGUAUCCCCUAAGAAUUUCUCUAUAAAAUACAUGUUACAAAAGACCAAACAAGAAUUAUAUAACCUUAACAAAGUCAAGUCAACCUCCUUUGUCGUAUAGUCGUAUUAUUAAGAGGCUUUCCAAGCAGCUUCCAUUUCCGCGUUCAAGCCACAAUUAAUAUGAGUCCCCUUUCUCCCCCGUUCUUUUCAUCCAGUGUGCCCUGUAAAGCUACCUAAGCUGCUUCUACUAUUUCCUCCUCUAAACCCAAACACAAACCCUUCAAGUAGGGAUCUUAGUUCGUUACUAAUAAUACUCUUCUAUAUACAUGACUUCAACCUCUUCUUUGGUGUCUGAUAUAUUUUUAAUUUCUGGCAUUGGAUUUAUGGUUUGGACUAUUUUUGCUGUUCCCUAUUUAAUUGCCAAGAUUGUGAGAAAAUUAAUUUGGUAUUUCGAUUGUCAGACAAGUUCUUGUCCGAACCUCGUUUUUUCCCGAGAGGCAUCCACCUCUUCUUCUUCAUCAAGAUCAAGAUCAUGCAAGUAUCAUGUGUUUCUGAAUUUCAGGGGUGAAGACACUCGCUCUGCAUUCAUUAGCCAUCUCUAUGCCGCUCUCACAAGGAACGGAAUCACUACCUACAUUGAUGACAACAACCUUCGCAAAGGUGAUGUUAUUUCACAUGAACUUCUCACAGCAAUUGAAGAGUCUAUGUUUGCAAUCAUUGUUCUCUCACCAAACUAUGCUUCCUCCACUUGGUGCUUGGACGACCUCCAAAAGAUUCUUGAAUGCAAACAUAAAUUGGGGCAACACAUCGAAGCAGUGUUCUACGGUGUGGAGCCUUCUGAUGUGAGGCACCAGAAUGGAACAUUCGGAGAAGCUUUCAGAAAACAUGAACACAGAUUCGGACAAAAA
RNAcentral lists this long non-coding RNA (1940 nucleotides) under Arachis ipaensis. RNAcentral describes it as "long non-coding RNA (AIPA_LNC002074)". Lineage: Eukaryota; Viridiplantae; Streptophyta; Magnoliopsida; Fabales; Fabaceae. The record is from RNAcentral.